CUGUAGUCAACAAAGUUAGGCUGAUUAACGCCACAGCAAGGGAAACUGCACGCUGUGGGGAAGCUUGAGGCAUCUCAAAAGGGUGGAUUAAGACAAGGGCACCCAAUAAAGCUUUGGGGGCUGGAGUUAGUCACAGGAUGGUGUUGGCAGGAUUUCAUCAGAUUCUGUAAACUGGGGAGUUUCUGGAAAAGAACCGGAAGACAGUAAAGGUCAUAAAUGAUGUACCUUUUACAUCUGGCAGAGGGCCAGGACAGUUCUGGGGUUCAUAUUUCUCUCCUUCUCUACUCUGAGGUUUAUACGGCCCCCCCACCGCCCCCAAGGUAAGUGUUUCUAAAGUUCUCAUGGAUUUCCUGUUAGAAUCCAACAAGUUGCAUUUACUGCUUUUCAAUCUUCAGCAUCUUCUUUGUGGCUGGGGUAAAGAAGCUCACUGUGGACUCUCAUUCAGUCUUGGGUGCAUUGGGCAACCUCUGGGAAAAGCACUGCUCUGAUGAACAGGGGAAUGAAUGACCACUGCCACACAGGCAGGUUUGGGGAGCUGCAGGCCAUCCUGUUCGGUGCUGGUGUGCUAGCUAUGGGGGUAAACAAAGGCAAAGAGGUUCUCAGGUCGGGGUGGUGGGUGGAUAGAGAGAGGAAUGUGAAAGAGAGAGAUCUAAACAGAAAAGCUUGCCAGAAAUUCAGAAAAAAAAAACCCACCUUUUAAUUCUGUAGUUCCCAAUAUUCACAGCUGUUAUAAAGCUCACAUUUGGGCUAAUUCCACAAGUUAUUAAUCAUCCACUGCUCGCUAUAUUGGACUUGUGGAUCACAUCAGAGCUCCACAAGCAAUUAAAAGUCCUCCUUUGCUUGUGAAAUGGCCUAACUAUAAAUCUCAGGAGGGUCAGCCCUGUUCUUCACCUGAGAUACCUGGAAGUCAUGCUGACCUCCACUCAUCCAUCCCAUGAACAGGUCGAAGGAUUUGGCAACAUGCUGAACAAGCUUUGUCCUGGGUCCUUGGGAGGGGUUGGAGGUGGGGCGAGGCAGUACUAUGGUCUCUUUCAUAAGUAAACCUUUGCAGUCUCUAAUAUUUUAUACUAUCUCUUUCAUUCACACUUAAAAUAGUAUGAGGAACCUACUUCGUGUCCUGCCAUGCCAGGCAUGGAUGAUUCUGAGAUGAAUAAAACACAGUCCUUGCCCUGGGGAAGCUAAUGGUCGGGGUAAGAAACAGGCACGUCAAAGCUUACAAUUUAGUGUCAUCGUUGCUGUACAGAUGGAGGCACUAAGUCCUGUGCGGUCAUGACAAAGGAUGCAAGUAACUCUACGUGUUGGGCCAUAAGAAAAGGCUUUGUAGAGAGAAGGUCUAUGCAACUCAGGCUUUUACCAGUACAAGGGAUUUCAGCAGGAGAAAAGUCUGGAGGGAGAAGCUAUGAAGCAGAGGGAACCACAGUGCACACAGAGGCAUGGAAGAUUCCCGAAGACAGUGGCUGCAGCAGAGGGUGUCUGGCAAGAGAGGAUGGAGUUGAGGCUGGAAAGCUGCAGUGUAGGAAGAGGUUGUUGCCAUGUGUGUAUAUUUUCUGCAGAAGAAAAGAAAAGCACUACUUCUAGGGUGAUAUUAUGUUGUAUGUAGAGAAAACUCUGGGACACCAUGCAGAAGUGGGAUGUGGGAUAGAAAACUUAGGCUGGAGAACUGAUGCUAUUAACUGUAAAUUCCAUUUCAUUAUCAGCAACAAAUAUUUAUGCAGCCUCUGGAGGGAAGGAAGUCCCACAGUCAGUGAUGAGUGGAAGAUACAGAGGCCAAACAAAAGGCACAGUCCUUGAGUCAUUGUGUUUGCAAUUUAAGAUGCACACACUGGGAUGAAACACAAGAGAAUGAAUAGUGAGACAGAUGUAACGCUUUUGCUAAACAACUCUUAUCUACAAAGCUUUGCUAUGCUUUUGUAUUUUGUUGGCAUCUUAGCACAUUGGCUUUCAAAUGUUUUUGACCAUAACCAAAAGUUAGAAAUAUAUUUUCAUGCCAUGAUCCAGAAUCCAUAAAAAAAUUUCACCGAGUACUAUUGAGAUACACUCUGAUAUUUUACAGGCUAUUACGUUUUAAUUUUUUUUUAAUGCUGGUUUCUGACCCUCUAAAUUGAUUCUGUGACCCACUGUUGGGUUAUAACUGUUGGCUUGAAAAUUCCGGCUUUCCCAUGUCUUGGAGGGGGAAAUGUUGGAGGAAAUGGAACAGAUGGGGGAGUGAAAGAGUGAGCGUGACUGCAGUGAGGGAAGGGACCGCAUGAGCAAUUGCCACAUCAAAUUCCCAUGACCAAAGAGGGCACUAAAUGAACAGGGCCCAGCCUGGGCCACAUAGUGAGACUCUGCCUCUACAAAAAAAAAAUAUCUAUCUAUCUAUCUAUCUAUCUAUAUAUA
RNAcentral lists this long non-coding RNA (2379 nucleotides) under Homo sapiens (human). RNAcentral's name for it is "HSALNT0121287". The record is from RNAcentral. Lineage: Eukaryota; Metazoa; Chordata; Mammalia; Primates; Hominidae.